GGCCCUUUGGCGCAAUGGUAGCGCGUCUCCCUCCUAAGGAGAAGGCUGUGCGUUCGAGUCGCAUGAGGGUCG
This is a non-coding RNA of Venturia effusa, 72 nucleotides long. NCBI's taxonomy places the organism in Eukaryota, Fungi, Ascomycota, Dothideomycetes, Venturiales, Venturiaceae. The record is from the annotation of a GenBank genome assembly.